RNAcentral lists this ribosomal RNA (245 nucleotides) under uncultured bacterium. RNAcentral's name for it is "partial 16S ribosomal RNA". It matches the Rfam family "Bacterial small subunit ribosomal RNA", at positions 524 to 768 of the family's 1533-position model. The record is from RNAcentral.
UACGUAGGGUGCAAGCGUUGUUCGGAAUUACUGGGCGUAAAGGGAGCGUAGGCGGAACUGUAAGUUAGGAGUUUAAUACACGGGCUUAACCCGUGCGUGGCUCUUAAUACUGCAGUCCUUGAGUAUGGGAGAGGGCGAUGGAAUUCCAGGUGUAGCGGUGGAAUGCGUAGAUAUCUGGAAGAACACCAGUAGCGAAGGCGGUCGCCUGGCCCAAUACUGACGCUGAGGCUCGAAAGCUAGGGGAG